Molecule: long non-coding RNA, 1901 nt
Filed under: Taeniopygia guttata (zebra finch)
Lineage: Eukaryota; Metazoa; Chordata; Aves; Passeriformes; Estrildidae
Description: lncRNA (ENSTGUG00000024053.1)
Source: RNAcentral
GACAUGGCACUGGGUGGCAACGAUGGCAGCAGCGGUUUUUGUUGUUGUUUCCCCAGAACGCUGUGCAAUAUAUUCCGAUUUUUUUUCUUGUCAUUAAGCCAGUGCCUCGGAGAUGAUGAUGUAGUCCCUAUGUGGGCCGCAGAAAGCACUUCGAGCCGUGCUGGAGUCGUGCUGGGUGGCUCUGAUAGCAGAGCUAAUGGGAGCGAAUGGGAUGCAACGAACUGUUCUAAUGACACCAGCCAGGGAAGAGACAACAGACGAGGUUUUUCCCUGAUGUCAACAGAGUCACACUGCAGAAGAGCCAGUGCUGAUGGGGUCUGCUCCAGCCUGUGGGCACCAGCGAGGUUUGUGAUGGAAGCUAGAUGUGAGCUGGGCAGAGGCAGCACUGGUACAGUUCAUCUAAGUGUGGUUGAUAUGUGUGAGGCUGAAUCACAAAAACAAAACCUGGGAAAAAAAGAAGAUCCAUCUAAAAUACCCUUGUAAAUGAAAGAAAUCCUCUUCUCCUUUUUCUUUUUGGUUUCAGAUUGAAAUAUCUUGUUUUACUCAAGCUUCUCCUUCUGAAAAUUGAUGUACUUUUUAUUGAAAAAAAUGGAAACUGGUGGCAGAGAAUUUGCAAAAGGAAUAAAACCACUGACUGCUUUCAAUAUUUUGCACAGAAAUUAAAACAUUUUCAGGAGUUAUUCUGGGCUGAGUUUUCAGCAGGUACAUAGAUAAGUAAAACUAGUUUUUGCUUAUCCUACUCAUGAACUUCCCGACAUUGUUUUGGAUGAAAUGCAAAAUCAAAUUCUGCAAGAUGUGAUCAUUUAGGGUACUGUGGCAUAUUUUGAAACAGUAGGACUGUUAGCCCCAGCAUUUUGGCCAAAUUCCAGCCUGGAUAAUUGCAUUCUGCCGGCCUAUAUUCAAGCCUGCAGUUUGAAUAGGAAAAAAAAAUCAAAACCAAGAAAGACCCCCCCUAAAAAAAAGAGUUAUCAUUUCUCCUCCAAGAAGUCCUGCUGUGUGAUGACCAGUGCUUUCCCACCCUAGAAGUAGCUGCAUUUGGGAAACAUUGCCUAUAUCAUCCUGCUCCUUUUGCCCAUUGGAUAAAAACUGCUGUGGAGAUGAGCAGCCCCUUUGUGGGAAUAAAGCAGCAGAGCUGACCAGGAUGGAGCUGUGUGCUUUGUGCCAGCCCUGUCAUAGCUGCACAACCUUCACUCUAUAAAGCCCAGAGUCCUGUGUAAGGGCUGGGUCCCCUGUGAUCUGCUUUGUCUGUCCAGUAGCCAUGGGCUGGGGGUACUGGGAGGAUGCACAGCGAGAGGAGAGGGCAGGCUGGCAUCAGAUGGGAAGAGGGAGGACUCACCAGCGGGCUUGACCCGUGUCUGUAAUUUGUAAAGAGCAUUUUUACACCAGAUCAAUGCUUUCCUCAGCAUUUUAAUGCACCCCAUUGGUGUCCUUAAACUCUAAUGAUGCAGUCUGUGAGAAGCUGCCAUUUAUUACCCACAGAUGGGGUGAUAAUUAUUGACAAGAUUGUAACUAAUAAUUAAACCCAUUUGCUCCUUUAAACAAGUUGGUGUGAAUUAUUUGCAGGGAGUUCUUUAGCAGGCCUGUGGUCACUCCUGCCGUGCGUGGGGUGAUGUUGUCCAGGAGCAAUCCCACUGCCAGGGAGGAGGGAAGGCUGCUCACAAAGCUGGGCUGCUCAAAUCUGUGGCGGGAGUCCUUCCUCUCCCCUUCUGUGGUGCCUAAGCUCGGGUGCGUUAGUGAGAGGUGUGUGAGCACCACCAUGCUCCUCCCCAUCCCCGGGGCUGCACCUCCUGAAUCCCAGCUCCUUCCAGGGCUAGUGCUGGGGACUCACACGGGCUCUGCUCAAGGGACUUGGGCCAAACGUGGAGCCAUGAUGGAAAAAUGUAUCCAUGAGAACUUUUCUG